RNAcentral lists this ribosomal RNA (292 nucleotides) under uncultured bacterium. RNAcentral describes it as "partial 16S ribosomal RNA". It matches the Rfam family "Bacterial small subunit ribosomal RNA", at positions 505 to 796 of the family's 1533-position model. The record is from RNAcentral.
GUGUCAGCCGCCGCGGUAAUACGGAGGGGGCGAGCGUUAUUCGGAAUUAUUGGGCGUAAAGGGCGCGUAGGCGGCUGAACAAGUCAAAGGUGAAAUCCCUCGGCUCAACUGAGGAACUGCCUUUGAAACUGUUCGGCUUGAGGCCGGGAGGGGGUAGCGGAAUUCCCAGUGUAGCGGUGAAAUGCGUAGAUAUUGGGAGGAACACCAGUGGCGAAGGCGGCUACCUGGACCGGUUCUGACGCUGAGGCGCGAAAGCGUGGGUAGCAAACAGGAUUAGAUACCCUGGUAGUCC